Molecule: long non-coding RNA, 2836 nt
Organism: Harpia harpyja (harpy eagle)
Lineage: Eukaryota; Metazoa; Chordata; Aves; Accipitriformes; Accipitridae
Exons: 2
Source: RefSeq, a predicted model, not a curated record
GCCCAGGGCCCGCCAGCCAAUCAGAGAAGGGCACGGCUGUUGCUAGGCGGGCGGGCAGGCAGGUGUAACCCUGCCGCCUUUGACGCCCUUCACGGUGAGCGGGAAGAGCCGACAAAGCGCGUCCUGAGGUGCGCGAAGCGUGGCACGCUGACUUCGUGGGUCGAGACAGCUCUAAGCUAAUGUCGUAACUCCGUGCGAUGACGCGACCCUCGUCAGGCACCCGGCGGGUGCCCGCAGAGGGCCGGGCCGCGCGGCCCCGGGGGCGUCUCAUGUCAUCGCUUUCCCACGCAAGACGCGUCUCAAAAAUCUCUUACAAUCAAGUUAUUCAACAGGUACUAUGACUCUCUAGUCCCUGCUGUACUGUCCCCGACCUCCCAGGACCCAGGGCUCUGCUCUGAUACAGACCAGCUGCAUAACCUCGGCUCAGACUCUGAGGAAACUGAAGUGGUGAGAAAAAGCUGUGAGAAAGUCUGCAACUUCACCUUUAUUUCCUUGCAGGACUCUGCAGCCUGAGGUAGGAUUGUUGAGAUGGGGAUGGCUCAAGGAUUCAACUUGGAAACAUCAUGGAAAAACAUCAACGUGGAAAGGUUGAUGCCUGAACACAGUUACAAUAAGGAAACAGAACUGUACCUGACUCUAAAUCCUCUGCAUGAUAUAGUGGACUUAACCGGUUCUCAAAGUUGCUUAUUAUUAACUACAGUUUUUAGAAGGUUGUUGAAUAAUUAAUUCAUCCAAGAAUAUCCGGAAGAAUGUAGCAUUCUGAUUUCCAAGUAACUUGUUGGACAUCAGGGGGCACUGUUUCACUACCAGCAAUUUAAACUGAGACAAUGCAGCAUUUGGAUAGUAUAAUACACUGGAUUUCGUGUUGUACUUAAUUCCUAAUCCUUCCUAUAGGUGGACAUUAAAUCAGUGUAGCUACUCUUCAUCUUUAUAUGUUAUCACAGUUUGAACUGAUUUUUAUAUAUAUAUAUAUAAAAAAAAUUAAUUAAGACCUGGGUUUGAAAGACCUGGGAUUCUUAAAAAUCUUAUUUUUGCAAAAAAAAAAAGAUUUCCAUAAAUGCACUGGAACUUAAUUAUGUGAGAGAUAUAGUUACAUAGGUACCCAGUAGCUAGGUCCAAAAAGGCAGGUGCAGAGCAGUUUGCUUCCUUUAAACGAAAACAAACUUAAAAAUUUUAGUGACUGAGUUGUUUACAGAUAGAUUAAGAAGCAUCACUGAAGAAAAACACAGGGCUGGUAUUUUAAUAAAUUAUAUUUAGGAUAUAUGUACUUUUUUUUUAAUCUUUUUAUAUUUGUGAGGUAAGAAAAAAAAUGCCUUUGGCCUCUGAUAUCCUUCCCAGUGAACUUUCCAGUGAAAGAUAAAGUACCAUAGUAAGAACACCUGGUAUUUCUUUUCAAACAAAGUCAUGAAGAAGCAGCAUUGGUUCUUUUAAAUAGAGAUCAUUGUUCAAAAUAAAAUACUUAUUUCUCAAGUAUAGACUUUCCCUACUUACUGCAGAGUGUGAAAUAGAGGAAGAAAAAAGUCUCUCUUCCCUGUAGAGAUGACUCCUGACCUUUUCGGGGGGAACCCAGCCUCUCGAUCAAAUGAAAAGCAUGCAGGCUGAGAGCUCAGUUCAUAAAGACCAUAACAAAACUGAAGAGUUCAUCUAAAAAGCCAACUUUGGACAUGUGGUUAACUCAGAAUAAAGGGUAUAGCAAGUCACACAAGUUUCAGUAAAUUAAAAAGGAACAGAUAAACCACCUGAAGCCACAUCUAUCACCAGAAACCUGUUUUUUACGUGGGAAGAGAAAGUAAGGAUUUAGAUGAGUUGUGUGAAACAAAUCAUUACGGCAUCAUGGUGCCUGGGCUAGGACUAAGCAUAACAGACUGAAUAUGCCUUACCUGUUUGCUACUUGAGGUAGUAAGUAAGGAUACUGGAAGGGUGCCUUACAGCUAAAUCCUUGCUUGUGACAAAUGUUACAGUAUGAUUAGAACUACAAAUGGUCCAGUGCCACUUAAGUGUAUGUCAUUGAUGGAUGGACAGGAAAAUUGUUUUCAGCUUUGUUUACUUCAAAAGAGCUUCUAAGCAUACAGCAGAGUUUUCUAAGUCCAAGAACAGCUGUAGUUAUUCUCAGGUACUGAAAAAUUCAGGACCUAGAAGAAAAAAAUCACUUGGAAAUUAUGUAGUGAACAAGAAGUGUACUGACUAGACUAACACAGCAAAUGGUAGAAGAAUGUCAAGGCUGCCAGCAAACACAGUGCAUGCUUAAACUUGCUGCUUCUGCAUACUUCAAAACAGCCAAGUACUCUGCAGCAGCAAAUCUCCAUAAAGUACUGGGGACAUAAGUUUGAACUUGCUGUUCAUUUCUACUGUAAAUAGACCGAUAUAUCCUGUAUGAACUCAACUAAUUCAAAGCAGAGAGUGGAAGCCUUUAAGAUUUAUUUUUAAGGAUUGGCACUGCUGUGUUGGUUGUAAAUGAAACAAAGUAGUCUUAUCUGAAGAGUUCCAAUUACUUUGUCAAAAUAAAUAGACGAGAUAGACUACAUGAGGUCUUCACCAUCACGUGACGAAAUGGCAAGUGAUGAAUGAUGUAUCUCUCAACAUCAGUAACUCAAAACUCUGAAUGCAUAUUUUAUGCUAAAGGGAAAGGAGAUUAACUGUACAGCACCCCUUUAAGUGUUUUUUUGAAACUUCUGACAUCAUCCACCAUAUUCUAACUUUUUAAAGCCACUGGAGAUUGUAUUUUGCGUUGGCGAGUAUUUAAUAACCAUGGUUAUUUUUUACCCAGUUGUGCCCACGCUGUUUCUUCACGCUGUAUUGUGCAAAGAGCACUAAUAAACAGGACUCCUUUAUACCA